UAUCCACUUGCUUACACAAAAACAGAUGAGUGGCCGCAAAGCCAACAAAUUAAUAUUAACAGUUGACAGAAAGGCACAAAUUAUGUUAACCGAAAGACAAUUAGAUUAGUAUCUUGAAAGAGAUUUAGUUUUUAUUCAACUUUGGUAUUAUUGGAAGUCGGUUUUUGAAUAUUAAGGGAAGCUUAUGGUCCUUAAUUUAAGGGGAUUGUCCUUAGGUUGUCAACUUCUUCCCUUAAUUCAAGGGGCUGUUAUUUAUUUUCCCUAAGCCAGACAACUUCCUUAAUUUAAGGGUGUCAACUUCUUAUUCUAAGUUGUCAACUCCCUUAAUUUAAGGGGCUGUUAUUUAUUUUUCCUAAGCCACCUGUUGUGGAGUAAAGCAAGAGGUUAAUCCUCUUAUAUAUUGUUGUACAAUUGUAAAAGAACUCAUGAGUGAAAUACAAUUCAAUCCUUGAAAAUCAACAUGGUAUCAGAGCAGGAAAAUUAACCUGCGUCUACUAUAUUGCUAUCCGAGCGUGUUCAACCCUCAAAAUGUCUGAAGACAAUCUGCUGAUAUCCGAAGCUGAAAGCUCACAGGUGCCUUCCUCCAUGAACGUGUAUAAGGUGGACGUCAACCCAAAUCAAAGAUUAAGCUUAGUUGUGUUGAAUGAGUUUAAUUACUUGCCUUGGUCGAGAGUUGUGUCUUUGGCGAUAGGUGGAAGGUCCAAGCUGGGGUUCAUAAAUGGAAGCAUUAAAGUACCUGAUGCUUCCUCAUCAAACUAUGAAUCUUGGCUUAGCAAGGAUCAGCUGGUUAUGUCAUGGCUCUUGAAUUCCAUGGAACGUAAAUUAGCUGAAAUAUUCAGCUACUCAGAAUCCUCGUACCAGCUAUGGGAAGCGGUCAAGGAAAUGUAUGGCAGCCAAAACAAUGCUGCACGGGUCUUCCAAUUAAAGAAGGACAUCUCCGAUCUGCAGCAAGAUGGCAAAUCGUUUGUGCAACUCCUAGGAAGCAUGAAAAACAUGUGGAAUGAGUUGGAAAUCUAUCGCCCUCAUACAACCGACGCAACACUGCUACGAAAGAGAGAAGAAGAAGACAAGAUAUUUCAACUCUUGUCCAGUCUUGAUUCAACAUAUGAAGACCUUCGAUGUUACAUACUCAUGAACACUGAGCUUUCUUCCUUCACCAGUGUGUGUGCGACGAUUCAACGGGAAGAAGUAAGGAGGAAAGUAAUGAACAUGGGUACAACGACUAGUGUAGGGCAUAUAUAACCAACGAAAAGAGGUACAAAGGAAAGCAUCCGAACUUGAAGUGUCAACACUGCAAUAAUACGGGUCACGUCAAAGACACAUGCUGGAUUUUACACCCAGAGUUAAAGCCUGAGUUCAUGAAGGACAACAAGGGUGUGCAAAGGAUGAACCGUACUCCACAUCGAGCGAAUCAUGCGUCUACCUCCACCUUCAAUGGGCCAGAUCCACUCAAGAACUUCACAGCGAAUCCAGCUGAACUCAUGAACGAGUUUAUGUCGUAUCUUCAAAGCAAGAAAGGAGGUGCUGGAAGUGAUCGUGCUGAUAGCAUAGAAGAGGGGAACUCGACGGCAUUGCUUGGCAAGUUUGCAGGGUUCCAGGCAGACACGAAACCUGUACCCCAAGAGGACAUGCAAGGUAUCAUGAAAGCCUUUAAAACUGCUCUUAAAAUAAAUAUGUUGCAUGAUUUUUGGGUUGCAAAUUCGGGUGCCACAGAUCAUAUGACCAACCAUGUGUCUAAGUCUCAAAAAUUUGAAAAAUUUGCAAACCCUUCUCAAGUUUCAAUUGCAAAUGGUGAGAAUGUAAAGGUCUUAGGAAAGGAAAAAAUAAAAUUAAUGUCAGACGAAAUUGAAUCAAUGGCUUUAUAUGUUUCUUCUUUCCCAUUUCAACUUCUAUCUGUGGGAAAUAUCACAAAUACCUUGAAUUGCUUAGCCAUUUUUUCUCCUCACAAUGUUAUCUUUCAGGAUUGUGCCACCAAUAAGACGAUUGGUGAAUGGUUUUAUUUAGAUGGUCUCUAUUACAUAUCAAAGAGCAAUCCGAGAAGGUUUCAAGCCAAGCUCAACCCCAUUCAAGAUAAUCAAUUGUGGCAUCAACGUUUAGCUCAUCCUUCUUCACCCAUUUUGUCAACUCUAUUUCCAAACUUAGGAAAGGAUGCUAUUUCAUGUGAAACAUGCCACUUGUCUAAAUCCACUCGACUACCUUUUAACUCUUCCUUGUCUAAAACUAGUAAAUGUUUUGAACUAGUUCAUUCAGAUGUAUGGGGACCAACUAGUGAAUCAUUUGAUGGCUAUAAGUAUUUUGUGAUUUUUGUGGAUGACUUCUCUCGAGUCACAUGGUUAUAUCUCUUAAAGUCUAAGAAUGAAGUUAUGGAAGUUUUUAAGGACUUUCAUAACCUUGUUAAAAACCAUUUCUCCUCUCAAAUUCAAACCUUAAGGUUUGACAAUGGCACCGAAUAUAUGUCCCAUAUCAUGAAACAUUAUUUGAGCACUUAUGGCAUCAUGCAUCAAACAAGUUGUGUUGGAACACCUCAACAAAAUGGUGCAUCCGAACGGAAAAACCGUGACUUACUUGAAAAAACAAGAGCACUAAUGCUACAAAUGAAUAUACCAAAGAGAUUUUGGUCUCAAGGUGUUAUGGUAGCAGUAUAUAUCAUCAAUAGAUUACCCAGCCGAGUCUUGGAAUUCAAGUCUCCACUCGAGGUCAUGAAAGGAAGGAAAAUUGACCUCUCACAUCUUUAGAGUGUUUGGCUGUAUCUGUUUUGUGCAUGUUCAAUCUCUUCACCGAGAUAAAUUAGAUCCUAGAGCUGCCAAAUGUAUUUUUCUUGGUUAUUCCUCUACACAAAAGAGAUAUAAGUGUUAUAAUCCCCAACUAAGGAGAUUGAUUGUGUCCAAAGAUGUGCGAUUUCAUGAAACUAACCCUUUUUUCAGCAAGUCAAGUGAAAUCACAGCCCAAGGGGAUGGCAUCUUGGAUGUGUUCCCACUACCAAGAAUUGAACUAGAGGGACCACAACAACGCGAGCUCAAUUAUGUCAACGUUGAUGCUUCUCCCAAUGAAGAUAGCAAUGAAGGGUCUCACUCUAAGGAUACACUGCAUGACAAUUGUGACAAUCAAGAUGAUGCGAACGAGUGUGAAAUAACUCUUCCAGCUCCUCGACGCAAUCCAAUGCGUGUUAGAAAAACUCCCACAAGACUUCAGGAUUUUGUCAUGUACAAACCCAUACAUCCCAUCUCCAAUUGUGUGUCAUACAAGAGAGUGACACCGGAUCAUGCUGCAUUCCUAAGCACUAUAUCCAGUUACCAGGAGCCUCAGAAUUUCCACGAGGCCAACAGCUAAGAUGUGUGGAAAGAGGCAAUGCAAGAAGAACUUAAAGCUCUAGAUCAACACAAUACCUGGAGCAUCACCAAACUUCCAACAGGCAAGAAAGCAGUGGGUUGCAAAUGGAUUUAUAAACUCAAAUUCAAGUCAGAUGGUUCAAUUGAGAGACAUAAAGUAAGACUGGUGGCUCGGGGAUUCACUCAAACAUUCGAGGUGGAUUACAAAGAAACGUUGCACCUGUGGCCAAAAUGAACACAGUAAGAGUGUUAUUGUUUGUAGUUGUAAACAAAGGAUGGUCCAUGUACCAAAUGGACGUGAAGAACGCAUUCUUGCACGGUGAUCUCAAAGAAGAAGUCUAUAUGAAAUUGCCACCAGGGCAUCCACAAAGCAAUGAACCGAAUGUGGUGUGCAGAUUGCACAAAGCCAUUUAUGGCCUAAAGCAGUCCCCACGAGCUUGGUAUGCCAAACUGAGCUCAGUUCUCACUAGUGUUGGUUUUAAAAGCAGCAACGCCGAUUCCUCAUUAUUUGUUCGCACAUGAGCUGUGGACACAUUAGUUGUGCUGAUUUAUGUUGAUGAUCUGAUAAUUACGGUGAUAAUACUGACGAGAUCUCCACUUUCAAACAAUCUCUCAAACAAAGAUUUGCAAUUAAAGACCUUGGGAUAUUGAAGUACUUUCUUGGUAUAGAAGUGGCAACCUCACACAAGGGAUUGUUUCUUAACCAAAGAAAGUAUGUCUUGGAUUUGCUCAAGGAUGCUAACAUGAACGAUGCUAAACCAGCCACCAAUCAUCUUAACAGUAAGCAAAAACCUAGCUUGAAGGGCACGCCACUCACUGAUAUCACCUAUUAUCAGCAAUUGGUUAGAAAAUUGAUCUACCUCACAAUCACUAGACCCGACAUCACCUAUUCUGUAAGUCUUGUGAGCCAAUUCAUGCACUCCCCGACUCUUGAACAUUUGACUCUGGUUAAACAUAUCUUACGCUACUUAAAAGGUUCAGUGGGUCGUGGUAUCAUCAUGCGGAAGAAUGACAACACUCAAGUCGUAGGGUAUUGUGAUGCUGAUUGGGCAGACAACGCAAUCGAUCGUAAGUCCACCUUCGGCUACUGUACAUUUGUCGGUGGAAACUUGGUCACCUGGAAAAGUAAAAAGUAAACUGUUAUCGCCAGAUCCAGUGCCGAAGCUGAGUACCGUGCAAUGGCUUCCACUGCAUGUGAGUUGAUCUGGCUUAAGGGUCUUAUGUGUGAUUUAGGGUUCCCUGCAACUCUUCCUAUGUCCUUAUUCUGUGACAAUUAGGCAGCCAUGCAUAUAGCAUCUAAUCCCGUGUUUCACGAGAGAACGAAACACAUUGAGAUUGACUGUUAUUUCGUUCGGGCACAGGUGCAGUCGCAGGUAAUUCAGACACGGUAUACACGAAGCUUCGACCAACUGACUGACAUUUUCACCAAGCCAUUGGCUUUUCAUCAGUUUCAAUGGCUUCUGUCCAAGCUUGGAUCCAUAAACCUUAUGGAUCCAGCUUAAGGGGGAGUAUUGGAAGUCGGUUUCUGAAUAUUAAGGGAAGCUUACGGUCCUUAAUUCAAGGGGCUUGUCCUUAGGUUGUCAACUUCUUCCCUUAAUUCAAGGGGUUGUUAUUUAUUUUCCCUAAGCCAAACAACUUCCUUAAUUCAAGGGUGUCAACUUCUUAAUCUAAGUUGUCAACUUCCUUAAUUUAAGGGGCUGUUAUUUAUUUUUCCUAAGCCACCUGUUGUGGAGCAAAGCAAGAGGUUAAUCCUCUUAUAUAUUGUUGUACAAUUGUAAGAGAACUCAUGAGUGAAAUACAAUUCAAUCCUUGAAAAUCAACAUGGUAUCAGAUCAGGAAAUUAACCUGCGUCUGCUAUACUGCUAUUCGAGCGUGUUCAACCCUCAAAAUGUCAGAAGACAAUCCGCUGAUAUCCAAAGCUGAAAGCUCACAGGUGCCUUCCUCCAUGAACGUGCAUGAGGUGGACGUCAACCCAAAUCAAAGAUUAAGCUCAGUCGUG
RNAcentral lists this long non-coding RNA (5328 nucleotides) under Malus domestica (apple). RNAcentral describes it as "long non-coding RNA (MDOM_LNC014493)". The record is from RNAcentral. Lineage: Eukaryota; Viridiplantae; Streptophyta; Magnoliopsida; Rosales; Rosaceae.